Molecule: long non-coding RNA, 1794 nt
Organism: Oncorhynchus kisutch (coho salmon)
Lineage: Eukaryota; Metazoa; Chordata; Actinopteri; Salmoniformes; Salmonidae
Exons: 3
Source: RefSeq, a predicted model, not a curated record
GAAGCCACCGCGCCUCCAUCUUGGCACAAUCUCCCCCAACCAGGGACGUCACUAGAUAUUCAUGGUUAGGGGGGCUACGCCACUUUUAGGGGGGUCUGGAAUACUCCCUGUCCGUUUAUUGUUAGCUAGCAGUCUCAAGCCACAGAAGUAACUAACAUUAACUGAAAUGCUAGCUACAAGUAGGCCUAACGGUGCAUGUAUACUAGAUAGUGGUAAAUUGCCGUGUGCCGCUUAGGCCGCCCAUUGUGACAGCAUAUAGCAGCUUUUCGAUUGUACGUCAAGAAUUCAGAAUAGCAAGUUUGUAUAAAGUUCUGGUUAUUACAUGGGUACAUAGCUCAAUAGUAAUAUCCUCUAAAACGCUCUGGUGACAAACAAACUUUGCUGCCCUGUUUCCAAUUGUCCACAUGGCUGGGAGAACCAAUUCAAAGACCUUGUAACUGGAGAUUCCUUCAAAACGAUUGCCUACAGUUAACAUAUAGGGCACUGCAAGGUUGGGUGACCAGGGCCAUCUGGGACUGCCUCAUGGGGGAAUUCAGGUGUGUGAAGGCUACCUGUGUCCUGCAUAACUUAAUGAGGAUGGACUCGAGGACCAGGAGAGGAUCUGCAGCUUGCCGCCGUGUGCCAGAGUAGAAGUCUGCUGCUCUGCAGGAUGUUAAGGAUUGGGUCCAACAACGCAACAAGAGAGGCAAUCCAUGUGCGGGAGAUCUUCACCUCCUAAUUCUUUGAAGAGGGUGCUGUUCCCUGGCAACACCAUAGACUAUACUAUGCACAACCAACGGCUCUUUUAAGAGCCAUUCACAUUGCAAUGAGAGUAUUCUUCCAUUUACUUAGCUAUGUCAAUUGCAGUUAUUGAAUUCACAGUUUCUCUCCCUUUUGAUUUCUACUUCUCAGGUGAGGGUGCUGUUUAGCUAAGGGUAUGAUGUCUGUACAAAAACAAAACAGGCUAUUUUAAAUCACCCAUAUUGAUUUUUUUUUUUAACAAUUAGACACCCUAUAACCCCCACACUCAUGUAUCAAUCUGAUUGAUGGAUGGUGUUGUGCAGUAAGCAGACUCGGGUGUAUAACUGUUGCUUCUUCCACAUUCAAAGAAUAGGCAAGAGGGCCAACCAUGGAGAAUAGUAAGACACUUCAUUAUUUCUAUAACUACGCUAGAUUGUUUGUCCUCGUGUGUCCGUUCAUGUUUUUCAGCAUAAAGUACUCUGCAGCCACUUAGUGUGGUGUGGACACCAGGUGAGGCCACACCAGAAUUCCUGUUGAAAACUGUCGCUUUUAUCUACCUUAUUUUCUCAAUAAGUCACUCUCCUUCACUUCAUCCCUUUCUCUUCUUCUCCCUAAAUCCUCUAGGUUAUAUCAGCUGUGUCGGUGAACCCCUCCUGCAUCUGAACUGGCUACAUGGAGGGCUCAGCAUGAUCAGAGAGACAGAUGGAGAUGCCAAUCCUGGAGAUGCCAAUCCUGGGGAUGCCAAUCCCCAGUCCUAUCAUCGCCAUCUCACCCGCUUUUAAGAUGAGUAUCUCUCGACAGCCCAAAGGUUAUGUAAUUGUGAUGAACUGAGAAUAUUUAGGUAGCACUGUGAUUCAUUAAUCAUAUGCUGCCUUCCCUGCUCUUAUGUUUGACCUCUUUCCCUUUGUCUUUUACACCUCUCUCUUUCUUCCUCUGUUUUUAUAAUGCACAACAGAUGUGCAUUGAAGUACAGAUUGAACUUGUAUUUAUAAUAUUACAAUUAUAAUAUUUAUAAUGCAUGUAUUUAUAACACUUGGAUAAUGAGCUUUUCAAUAAAGAAUUUUACAUUCUCUA